Molecule: ribosomal RNA, 426 nt
Filed under: uncultured Spartobacteria bacterium
Lineage: Bacteria; Pseudomonadati; Verrucomicrobiota; Spartobacteria
Description: partial 16S ribosomal RNA
Rfam family: Bacterial small subunit ribosomal RNA
Source: RNAcentral
UCGAGAAUUUUUCACAAUGGGGGAAACCCUGAUGGAGCGACGCCGCGUGGAGGAUGAAGGUUUUCGGAUUGUAAACUCCUGUCAUUAGAGAACAAUGCGCCGGUAGUAACUGUAUCGGCGUUGAUAGUAUCUGAAGAGGAAGAGACGGCUAACUCUGUGCCAGCAGCCGCGGUAAUACAGAGGUCUCAAGCGUUGUUCGGAUUCAUUGGGCGUAAAGGGUGCGUAGGUGGCGAUGUAAGUCGGAUGUGAAAUCUCCAGGCUCAACCUGGAAACUGCAUUCGAUACUGCGUUGCUUGAGGAUUGUAGAGGGCAUUGGAAUUCACGGUGUAGCAGUGAAAUGCGUAGAUAUCGUGAGGAAGACCAGUGGCGAAGGCGAAUGCCUGGGCAAUUCCUGACACUGAGGCACGAAGGCCAGGGGAGCGAACG